Molecule: ribosomal RNA, 1429 nt
Filed under: uncultured organism
Description: partial small subunit ribosomal RNA
Rfam family: Bacterial small subunit ribosomal RNA
Source: RNAcentral
UGCGGCGUGCUUAACACAUGCAAGUCGAACGGAAAGGCCCUGCUUUUGUGGGGUGCUCGAGUGGCGAACGGGUGAGUAACACGUGAGUAACCUGCCCUUGACUUUGGGAUAACUUCAGGAAACUGGGGCUAAUACCGGAUAGGAGCUCCUGCUGCAUGGUGGGGGUUGGAAAGUUUCGGCGGUUGGGGAUGGACUCGCGGCUUAUCAGCUUGUUGGUGGGGUAGUGGCUUACCAAGGCUUUGACGGGUAGCCGGCCUGAGAGGGUGACCGGCCACAUUGGGACUGAGAUACGGCCCAGACUCCUACGGGAGGCAGCAGUGGGGAAUAUUGCACAAUGGGCGGAAGCCUGAUGCAGCAACGCCGCGUGCGGGAUGACGGCCUUCGGGUUGUAAACCGCUUUCGCCUGUGACGAAGCGUGAGUGACGGUAAUGGGUAAAGAAGCACCGGCUAACUACGUGCCAGCAGCCGCGGUGAUACGUAGGGUGCGAGCGUUGUCCGGAUUUAUUGGGCGUAAAGGGCUCGUAGGUGGUUGAUCGCGUCGGAAGUGUAAUCUUGGGGCUUAACCCUGAGCGUGCUUUCGAUACGGGUUGACUUGAGGAAGGUAGGGGAGAAUGGAAUUCCUGGUGGAGCGGUGGAAUGCGCAGAUAUCAGGAGGAAUACCAGUGGCGAAGGCGGUUCUCUGGGCCUUUCCUGACGCUGAGGAGCGAAAGCGUGGGGAGCGAACAGGCUUAGAUACCCUGGUAGUCCACGCUGUAAACGGUGGGUACUAGGUGUGGGGUCCAUUCCACGGGUUCCGUGCCGUAGCUAACGCUUUAAGUACCCCGCCUGGGGAGUACGGCCGCAAGGCUAAAACUCAAAGGAAUUGACGGGGCCCCGCACAAGCGGCGGAGCAUGCGGAUUAAUUCGAUGCAACGCGUAGAACCUUACCUGGGUUUGACAUGGAUCGGGAGUGCUCAGAGAUGGGUGUGCCUCUUUUGGGGUCGGUUCACAGGUGGUGCAUGGCUGUCGUCAGCUCGUGUCGUGAGAUGUUGGGUUAAGUCCCGCAACGAGCGCAACCCUUGUUCACUGUUGCCAGCACGUUAUGGUGGGGACUCAGUGGAGACCGCCGGGGUCAACUCGGAGGAAGGUGGGGAUGACGUCAAGUCAUCAUGCCCCUUAUGUCCAGGGCUUCACGCAUGCUACAAUGGCUGGUACAGAGAGUGGCGAGCCUGUGAGGGUGAGCGAAUCUCGGAAAGCCGGUCUCAGUUCGGAUUGGGGUCUGCAACUCGACCUCAUGAAGUCGGAGUCGCUAGUAAUCGCAGAUCAGCAACGCUGCGGUGAAUACGUUCCCGGGGCUUGUACACACCGCCCGUCAAGUCAUGAAAGUUGGUAACACCCGAAGCCGGUGGCCUAACCGAUGUGGGGGAGCCGUCGAAGGUGGGACUGGUGA